UACGGGGGGGGCAAGCGUUGUUCGGAAUUACUGGGCGUAAAGGGCUCGUAGGCGGCCAACUAAGUCGGACGUGAAAUCCCUCGGCUUAACCGGGGAACUGCGUCCGAUACUGGAUGGCUUGAGUUUGGGAGAGGGAUGCGGAAUUCCAGGUGUAGCGGUGAAAUGCGUAGAUAUCUGGAGGAACACCGGUGGCGAAGGCGGCAUCCUGGACCGGUAUUGACGCUGAGGCGCGAAAGCUGGGGGAGCAAACGGG
Molecule: ribosomal RNA, 253 nt
Filed under: uncultured bacterium
Lineage: Bacteria
Description: partial 16S ribosomal RNA
Rfam family: Bacterial small subunit ribosomal RNA
Source: RNAcentral